Molecule: ribosomal RNA, 253 nt
Filed under: uncultured bacterium
Lineage: Bacteria
Description: partial 16S ribosomal RNA
Rfam family: Bacterial small subunit ribosomal RNA
Source: RNAcentral
UACGUAGGGGGCAAGCGUUGUCCGGAUUUAUUGGGCGUAAAGAGCGUGUAGGCGGCCAGGUAGGUCCGUUGUGAAAACUGGAGGCUUAACCUCCAGCUGUCGAUGGAAACCAUCUGGCUAGAGUCCGGAAGAGGAGAGUGGAAUUCCUGGUGUAGCGGUGAAAUGCGCAGAUAUCAGGAGGAACACCGGUGGCGAAGGCGGAUCUCUGGGCCUUACCUGACGCUGAGGCGCGAAAGCUAGGGGAGCGAACAGG